This 274-nucleotide ribosomal RNA is filed under the name uncultured bacterium. RNAcentral's name for it is "partial 16S ribosomal RNA". It matches the Rfam family "Bacterial small subunit ribosomal RNA", at positions 523 to 796 of the family's 1533-position model. The record is from RNAcentral.
AUACGAACCUUACGAACGUUAUUCGGAAUCACUGGGCUUAAAGAGUGCGUAGGCGGCUUGGAAAGUUGGGUGUGAAAUCCCUCGGCUCAACCGAGGAAUUGCGCUCAAUACUUCCAGGCUUGAGGGAGAUAGAGGUAAGCGGAACUAAUGGUGGAGCGGUGAAAUGCGUUGAUAUCAUUAGGAACACCUGAGGCGAAAGCAGCUUACUGGGUCUCUUCUGACGCUGAGGCACGAAAGCUAGGGGAGCGAACGGGAUUAGAAACCCUAGUAGUCC